RNAcentral lists this non-coding RNA (24 nucleotides) under Arabidopsis thaliana (thale cress). The record is from RNAcentral. Lineage: Eukaryota; Viridiplantae; Streptophyta; Magnoliopsida; Brassicales; Brassicaceae.
ACCUUGGACCGGCCUUGUAGUAGA